This 465-nucleotide ribosomal RNA is filed under the name Firmicutes bacterium AD3-3. RNAcentral describes it as "bacterial SSU rRNA". It matches the Rfam family "Bacterial small subunit ribosomal RNA", at positions 15 to 496 of the family's 1533-position model. Lineage: Bacteria; Bacillati; Bacillota. The record is from RNAcentral.
GAUCCUGGCUCAGGACGAACGCUGGCGGCGUGCCUAACACAUGCAAGUCGAGCGGGGAGAGAUUUUCGGAUUUCUCUUUAGCGGCGGACGGGUGAGUAACACGUGGGUAACCUGCCUCAAAGUGGGGGAUAGCCUUCCGAAAGGAAGAUUAAUACCGCAUAAUAUCAGAGCGCUGCAUGGUGCUGUGAUUAAAGGAGCAAUCCGCUUUGAGAUGGACCCGCGGCGCAUUAGCUAGUUGGUGAGGUAACGGCCCACCAAGGCGACGAUGCGUAGCCGACCUGAGAGGGUGAUCGGCCACAUUGGAACUGAGACACGGUCCAGACUCCUACGGGAGGCAGCAGUGGGGAAUAUUGCACAAUGGGGGAAACCCUGAUGCAGCAACGCCGCGUGAGUGAUGAAGGCCUUCGGGUCGUAAAGCUCUUUGAUCAGGGACGAUAAUGACGGUACCUGAAAAGCAAGCCACGG